RNAcentral lists this ribosomal RNA (2149 nucleotides) under Candidatus Annandia adelgestsuga. RNAcentral's name for it is "16S ribosomal RNA". It matches the Rfam family "Bacterial small subunit ribosomal RNA". Lineage: Bacteria; Pseudomonadati; Pseudomonadota; Gammaproteobacteria; Enterobacterales; Enterobacteriaceae. The record is from RNAcentral.
UAAGAGUUUGAUCAUGGCUCAGAUUGAACGCUAGCGACAGGCUUAACACAUGCAAGUCGUGCGAAUUCUGUUUAUUUUAAAUAAUAGAAAGCGGCGAACGGGUGAGUAAUAUCUAGGAAUCUACCUAAUAGAAUGGGAUAACUAUUGGAAACGAUAGCUAAUACCAUAUAAUGUCAAUGUUUAUUUUAUCAAAUUUGUUUAUGAUAAAUAAUAAUGAAAUAAUUUUUAUAAUAAAUAUUAAUUAUUAUUUUUAUAAUAAUUUUAAUUAAUAAAAACUUUAUAUUCAAAAUUUUAAUAUUGAAUUAAUAUUUAUAAUGUAUAUUAAAAUUUAAUUUUUUUAUUAUAUUAAUUAUUAAACAAAAUUAAUAAUUUUUAAUAUAAAAAAUUAUUUUAAUUUUAUAAAUGUUUCAUUAUAUAUAAAGUUAAAAUUAUAACAUUAUUAUUUUGAAACAUUAAUAUUAGGUUUAUACUAUUUUAACUAUUUUAAUGUAUUUAUUUACGAUGUUAUCUUUUUUUUAAUAAAUAUUUUUUUUGAUUGUUUUAUAUUAUAUAAUUUUUUUUUAAAAAAGGUUUUUAAUUUUAUUUUAAAUUAUAUAUUAAUGUUUUUUUUAUAAAAUAAAAUUUAAUUGAUUAUAUACAUUUUAAUAGUUAUAUAGUAUAAAUUUUGUAUUUUUUUUUGAUAAAUAUUUUUAUUAUUCUAUUUUAAUUUAUUAAAUUUAUAAUUAUUAAUUCUAAAAUUUUAUUUUAAAAUAAAUUUUUAUAAAUAAAAUAAAUUAAAAGACCAAAGCGGGGAUAACGUUUUUAAUAAUAUGCUCUCGCGCUGUUAGAUGAGCCUAGACGAGAUUAGCUUGUUGGUAAGGUAAUGGCUUACCAAGGCAAUGAUCUCUAGUUGGUCUGAGAGGAUGACCAGCCACACUGGAACUGAGACACGGUCCAGACUCUUACGGGAGGCAGCAGUGGGGAAUAUUGCACAAUGGGCGCAAGCCUGAUGCAGCUAUGUCGCGUGUAUGAAGAAGACCUUAGGGUUGUAAAGUACUUUCAAUAGCAUAAGAAGGUAAUGAAACUAAUAAUUUUGUUAUCAGACGUUAGCUAUAAAAGAAGCACCGGCUAACUCCGUGCCAGCAGCCGCGGUAAUACGGAGGGUGCUAGCGUUAAUCGGAAUUACUGGGCGUAAAGAGCACUUAGGUGGUUUAUUAAGUCAAGUGUGAAAUCCCUAGACUUAAUCUAGGAACUGCAUUUGAAACUAAUAGACUAGAGUUUCGUAGAGGGAGGUAGAAUUCUAGGUGUAGCGGUGAAAUGCAUAGAUAUCUAGAGGAAUAUCAGUGGCGAAGGCGACCUCCUGGACGAUAACUGACGCUAAAAUGCGAAAGCAUGGGUAGCAAACAGGAUUAGAUACCCUGGUAGUCCAUGCUGUAAACGAUGUCGACUAAGAAGUUGAAAGCUUUGACUUAUAAUUUCUGUAGCUAACGCGUUAAGUCGACCGCCUGGGGAGUACGGCCGCAAGGCUAAAACUCAAAUGAAUUGACGGGGGCCUGCACAAGCGGUGGAGCAUGUGGUUUAAUUCGAUGCAACGCGUAAAACCUUACCUGGUCUUGACAUCCACAGAAUUUUAUAGAAAUAUAAAAGUGCAAUUUGAACUGUGAGACAGGUGCUGCAUGGCUGUCGUCAGCUCGUGUUGUGAAAUGUUGGGUUAAGUCCCGCAACGAGCGCAACCCUUGUUUUUUGUUACCAUCAGAUAAAGCUGGGGACUCAAAAGAAACUGCCAGUUAUAAACUGGAGGAAGGUGGGGACGACGUCAAGUCAUCAUGGCCCUUACGACCAGGGCUACACACGUGCUACAAUGGCGUAUACAAAGAGAUGCAAUAUUGUAAAAUAAAGCUAAUCUAUAAAAUACGUCUUAGUUCGGACUGGAGUCUGCAACUCGACUCCACGAAGUCGGAAUCGCUAGUAAUCGUGGAUCAGCAUGCCACGGUGAAUAUGUUUCCAGGCCUUGUACACACCGCCCGUCACACCAUGGAAGUGGGUUGCAAAAGAAGUAGAUUAAUUUAACCUUCUUAACAAGAAAAUAGUUUACCACUUUGUGAUUCAUGACUGGGGUGAAGUCGUAACAAGGUAACCGUAGGGGAACCUGUGGUUGGAUUACCUCCUU